This 501-nucleotide ribosomal RNA is filed under the name Harmandiola tremulae. RNAcentral describes it as "partial large subunit ribosomal RNA". The stretch from base 1 to 148 matches the Rfam family "Archaeal large subunit ribosomal RNA", at positions 1889 to 2084 of the family's 2987-position model. Lineage: Eukaryota; Metazoa; Arthropoda; Insecta; Diptera; Cecidomyiidae. The record is from RNAcentral.
CGCCUGUUUAUUAAAAACAUAGUUUUUAAAUUUUAUUAAAAAUAUAACCUGCCCAUUGAGUUUAUUAAAAGGCCGCAGUAUUUUGACUGUGCUAAGGUAGCAUAAUCAUUAGGUUUUUAAUUGAAAUCUAGAAUGAAUGGUUUUAUGAAAUAUUAGCUUUUUUAGUUUUAUAAGUUGAAUUUUAUUUAUAAGUUAAAAAGCUUAUAUAUUUAAAAGGGACGAGAAGACCCUAUAGAAUUUUAUAAUUUAUUAUUUAUUUUUAAUUAUUUUAUUAUUUAAUUAAUUAUUAAUUAUUUUGUUGGGGAGAUAUUUAAAUUUAUAAAACUUUAAUUUAAUAAAUCAAUAAAUAUUUGUAAAUUUGAUCUUUUAUUAUAGAUUAAAAAAAUAAAUUACCUUAGGGAUAACAGCAUUAUGAUUUUAAAAAGUUCUUAUUUUUAAAAUAGUUUAUGACCUCGAUGUUGGAUUAAAAUAAUUUUUAUAGAAGAUAUAUAGAAAAUAAGU